AGAGCGAACGCUGGCGGCAGGCCUAACACAUGCAAGUCGAGCGCCCCGCAAGGGGAGCGGCAGACGGGAGAGUAACACGUGGGAACGUACCCUUCAGUUCGGAACAACCCAGGGAAACUUGGGCUAAUACCGAAUACGUCCGUAAGGAGAAAGAUUUAUCGCUGAAGGAUCGGCCCGCGUCUGAUUAGCUUGUUGGUGAGGUAACGGCUCACCAAGGCGACGAUCAGUAGCUGGUCUGAGAGGAUGAUCAGCCUCACUGGGACAGAGACACGGCCCAGACUCCUACGGGAGGCAGCAGUGGGGAAUAUUGGACAAUGGGCGCAAGCCUGAUCCAGCCAUGCCGCGUGGGUGAUGAAGGCCCUAGGGUUGUAAAGCCCUUUCGGCGGGGAAGAUAAUGACGGUACCCGCAGAAGAACGCCCGGCUAACUUCGCGCCAGCAGCCGC
Molecule: ribosomal RNA, 444 nt
Filed under: uncultured bacterium
Lineage: Bacteria
Description: SSU rRNA
Rfam family: Bacterial small subunit ribosomal RNA
Source: RNAcentral